Molecule: ribosomal RNA, 200 nt
Filed under: Oryza sativa Indica Group (long-grained rice)
Lineage: Eukaryota; Viridiplantae; Streptophyta; Magnoliopsida; Poales; Poaceae
Also listed under: 1 other name
Description: 28S ribosomal RNA
Rfam family: Eukaryotic large subunit ribosomal RNA
Source: RNAcentral
GCCGCACCGCUGGCCGACCCUGAUCUUCUGUGAAGGGUUCGAGUUGGAGCACGCCUGUCGGGACCCGAAAGAUGGUGAACUAUGCCUGAGCGGGGCGAAGCCAGAGGAAACUCUGGUGGAGGCUCGAAGCGAUACUGACGUGCAAAUCGUUCGUCUGACUUGGGUAUAGGGGCGAAAGACUAAUCGAACCAUCUAGUAGC